Molecule: long non-coding RNA, 507 nt
Filed under: Mytilus galloprovincialis (Mediterranean mussel)
Lineage: Eukaryota; Metazoa; Mollusca; Bivalvia; Mytilida; Mytilidae
Source: RNAcentral
GUUGGACGUCAGAGUAAUCUCGAACUAAUUUAAAGGGAAAUGACAGGGAAGGGGCCAAAUAUUGUUCAAGGGGAGCAAAUGCCCUUUCAUUUGGUAUGCAGGUUUCAAAAAUAGAGGGAGAAUAAGAGGAAAAGUUGAGUCAUCUUAUUAGACUUCAGUUAAAUAAUGUAGACUUAUAUACCACUAAUUUAAAAAAAAAAAAAACCCACUCAGAACUAUGUCUAAUUCACUUUGACUACUGAUAUGCAAACCUAAAAACAGAAAAAUAUAUCAUAAAAUAGUGAUUGAAAGAUUCAUAACACUUUGAAAGGAUAAUUCAGACACGUGUUACACGGGGAGCAUGUUUGUUUACAAAUAAUAAUGUCACGUGAUCGCGCAGACCUCACAUGUUGCAUCGCCCUUACAAUCCACUGAUACAUAACCCAUUAUCAUGCAAACAUGCAACGUGAAUGUGAUUGGUUAUCAAAUAAUACAGAAAUAAUGCAUGUACAGUUUAUGAAGAAAUUA